AACGAACGCUGGCGGCGUGGAUUAGGCAUGCAAGUCGAACGUGAAAGGGGCUUCGGCCCUGAGUAAAGUAGGCAAACGGGUAGAGUAACGCGUGGAGAACCUGCCCGGAAGCGGGGAGUAACACCUCUAACGAGGUGCUAAUACCGCAUGUGUCUGCGUGAGCGCAUGCUCGCGCAGGUAAACGUAGGCCUCUGCUCGCAAGCUACGGCUUCC
Molecule: ribosomal RNA, 213 nt
Filed under: uncultured bacterium
Lineage: Bacteria
Description: partial 16S ribosomal RNA
Rfam family: Bacterial small subunit ribosomal RNA
Source: RNAcentral